Molecule: ribosomal RNA, 253 nt
Filed under: uncultured bacterium
Lineage: Bacteria
Description: partial 16S ribosomal RNA
Rfam family: Bacterial small subunit ribosomal RNA
Source: RNAcentral
UACAGAGGUCCCAAGCGUUGUUCGGAUUCACUGGGCGUAAAGGGUGCGUAGGCGGUCGGGUAAGUCUGAUGUGAAAUCUCACAGCUUAACUGUGAAACUGCAUUGGAUACUAUCCGGCUCGAGGAAUGGAGGGGAGACUGGAAUACUUGUGUAGCGAGUGAAAUGCGUAGAUAUCAAGUGGAACACCAGUGGCGAAGGCGGCUAUCUGGGCUGAAACUGACGCUGAGGCGCGAAGGCUAGGGUAGCAAACAGG